CCCCACUGCUAUCGAGGUGGGACUAAGCCAUGCUAGUCGAACGACCCGGACUAUGGCGGGGAGUGGCAGACUGCUCAGUAACACGUAGCUAACCUACCCUCAGGACGGGGAUAACCCCGGGAAACUGGGGCUAAUACCCGAUAGGUGUGGAUUCCUGGAAUGGUGCCAUGCCUAAACGUAAGCACAUCCAUGUUUGUGUGCACGCCCGAGGAUGGGGCUGCGGCCGAUCAGGCAGUUGGUGAGGUAACGGCUCACCAAACCUUUGACCGGUACGGGCCAUGAGAGUGGUAGCCCGGAGAUGGGCACUGAGACAAGGGCCCAGGCCCUACGGGGCGCAGCAGGCGCGAAACCUCCACAAUUCACGAAAGUGAGAUGGGGUUACCUCGAGUGCCGUCUGAAGAAGGCGGCUUUUCCAUGGUGUAACAAGCCGUGGGAAUAAGGGGGGGGCAAGACUGGUGUCAGCCGCCGCGGUAACACCAGCCCCCCGAGUGGUGGGGAUGAUUAUUUGGCCUAAAGCGUCCGUAGCCGGCUUUGUAAAUCUCUCGUUAAAUCCAGCGUCCUAAGCGUUGGGCUGCGAGAGACACUGCAGAGCUAGAGGGUGGGAGAGGUCAGCGGUAUUCCUGGGGUAGGGGCGAAAUCCAUUGAUCCCAGGAGGACCACCAGUGGCGAAGGCUGCUGUCCAGAACACGCCUGACGGUCAGGGACGAAAGCUGGGGUAGCGAAUCGGAUUAGAUACCCGAGUAGUCCCAGCCGUAAACGAUGCAGGCUAGGCGUUGGGUCGGCCACGCGCCGCCUCAGUGCCACAGGGAAGCCAUUAAGCCUGCCGCCUGGGGAGUACGGCCGCAAGGCUGAAACUUAAAGGAAUUGGCGGGGGAGCACCACCAGGCGUGAAGCCUGCGGUUUAAUUGGAUUCACGCCNGGAAGGGCGAAUUCGUUAAA
Molecule: ribosomal RNA, 939 nt
Filed under: uncultured archaeon
Lineage: Archaea
Description: bacterial SSU rRNA
Rfam family: Archaeal small subunit ribosomal RNA
Source: RNAcentral